UACGAGGGGGGCAAAUGUUGUUCGGAAUCACUGGGCGUAAAGGGAGCGUAGGCGGGUGUUUAAGUUAGGUGUUUAAUCCUGGGGCCCAACCCCAGUCGUGCACCUAAAACUGGACAUCUUGAAUAGUGGAGAAGUCAGUGGAAUUGGGGGUGUAGCGGUGGAAUGCGUAGAGAUCCCCAAGAACACCAGUUGCGAAGGCGGCUGACUGGACACAUAUUGACGCUGAGGCUCGAAAGCAUGGGGAGCAAACAGG
RNAcentral lists this ribosomal RNA (253 nucleotides) under uncultured bacterium. Its description in RNAcentral is "partial 16S ribosomal RNA". It matches the Rfam family "Bacterial small subunit ribosomal RNA", at positions 524 to 776 of the family's 1533-position model. The record is from RNAcentral.